Molecule: long non-coding RNA, 833 nt
Filed under: Anas platyrhynchos platyrhynchos (common mallard)
Lineage: Eukaryota; Metazoa; Chordata; Aves; Anseriformes; Anatidae
Description: lncRNA (ENSAPLG00000019800.1)
Source: RNAcentral
AUGCAAGUGUACAACAACUUUCUAAGGAGGCAUCAGGGCAAAGCACAGGCUGGCCGUUCCCUAGAGGAUGGGGAGCCCAGGGGGAUAACAGGGCUGGCAGUGGCUCCACCAGCACCCACCCCAAAGUACCCAAGAGGGGGUGACUCAGAGACAGUGGACAGCUUUAACCAGGAGUCCAGAUCAUUAGAGAAGCCUAUGAUGUUCAGGCAGGUCAGAGGUCAUGCUACAAAGUCAAACUGGAGGUCAGGAUCAGGUCCAUUGGUGGUGAAGCAGGACCAUGGCGGCAAGACAGGUCUAAAACCAAGUUGGGAAGUCAGCAUGAAGGGAGAGGUAGAAAAAGGAAGAAAAGACACUGGAAGAAAUAAUCUAUCUGCUAGAAGAGAUGAAGAAGCAGAAACCAGUUGCAAAAUAGCUGCCUUAAGCAAAUCUCUUCUGUAUAUGUUACUGGAUUUAAAGGACCAGUCAAAAAAGAUUCUGCCUGCUGUUACUCCUUUCUCUAGUUUCUGGUGUUCCUUAAGAAGCAAAGUUCAGAACUCUGAAGCUUAGAAAGGAGGCAAUGUCAGCAGCUUCUGUGAGACAGUAUAAUCUUUCAGGAAAGAAACGUUCACACUUCUUCCAAAGAUUGCUGAAAAUGUCUUUGUUCAGUUCCCUGUUUUUCCUAGUGUGGUAGAAAACUUUAAUGGGUUGAUGGGAUGAGAAUCGAAGCAGGACAUUUUAUUUCUAUUCCCAAUUCUCUUUGGCUUUUGUUUGUUUAUAAGUAUGUGCUUUCUGUUGCCUUUUAUUUUAUUUUUUAAUCAAAUAAACAUUGCAGAAUGCUAAUACUUGAGAAAAAU